UAGAAAAGAGACAUUGCCACACUGAAUAUGCCUGAUUUUGUCAGAUCUCGAAAGCUAAGCAGGGUGAAGCCUGGAUGGUACUUAGAUGGGAGAAAAGAGGUGCUGUGCUGU
Molecule: ribosomal RNA, 111 nt
Filed under: Octodon degus (degu)
Lineage: Eukaryota; Metazoa; Chordata; Mammalia; Rodentia; Octodontidae
Source: RNAcentral